RNAcentral lists this long non-coding RNA (206 nucleotides) under Mytilus galloprovincialis (Mediterranean mussel). Lineage: Eukaryota; Metazoa; Mollusca; Bivalvia; Mytilida; Mytilidae. The record is from RNAcentral.
GUGAAACAUUUUAUUAGAUAUGCAUUUAGGCCAAGGUAAGUGAUACAGGCACUUGACAGUCUCCUGCUAUUCUUGAAAAACAUUGUGGAUUAUUUCUUUUGGGGGAUUUUUCAAUUUCACAUGGGGACUAGUGUUAUACAGGGUAGAAAAUCAAAAGUUUUGAUAGAACAUAUAUUAGAAAAAGAUCAAGAUUUGAAAUUAUCCAG